Ipomoea nil (Japanese morning glory) is the source of this 128-nucleotide long non-coding RNA. RefSeq lists it as uncharacterized. The transcript is spliced from 3 exons. The record is from RefSeq and is a predicted model, not a curated record. NCBI's taxonomy places the organism in Eukaryota, Viridiplantae, Streptophyta, Magnoliopsida, Solanales, Convolvulaceae.
GCUUUGGGUUUUGGGAGCUAGACGAGCCAUGAGAGCUACUGCUGCAUUGCCUGCAUUGUUCUCCUCAAUGAAACUAAUGGUGGAGUUUAUCACCAGCAAUGUAAUAAUCACAACAAAGUCCUGCCAAU